Molecule: ribosomal RNA, 424 nt
Filed under: Verrucomicrobiota bacterium
Lineage: Bacteria; Pseudomonadati; Verrucomicrobiota
Description: Verrucomicrobia bacterium partial 16S ribosomal RNA
Rfam family: Bacterial small subunit ribosomal RNA
Source: RNAcentral
UGAGGAAUAUUGGUCAAUGGACGCAAGUCUGAACCAGCCAAGUAGCGUGCAGGAUGACGGCCCUAUGGGUUGUAAACUGCUUUUAUGUGGGGAUAAAGUGCGUGACGUGUCAUGCAUUGCAGGUACCACAUGAAUAAGGACCGGCUAAUUCCGUGCCAGCAGCCGCGGUAAUACGGAAGGUCCGGGCUUUAUCCGGAUUUAUUGGGUUUAAAGGGAGCGUAGGCUGUCUAUUAAGCGUGUUGUGAAAUUUACCGGCUCAACCGGUGGCUUGCAGCGCGAACUGGUCGACUUGAGUAUGCAGGAAGUAGGCGGAAUUCAUGGUGUAGCGGUGAAAUGCUUAGAUAUCAUGACGAACUCCGAUUGCGCAGGCAGCUUACUGUAGCAUAACUGACGCUGAUGCUCGAAAGUGCGGGUAUCAAACAGG